GUCCUUUUGAUUUUUAUUUAAGGUCUGACCUGCCCACUGAUUUAUUUAAUGGCCGCGGUAUUUUGACCGUGCAAAGGUAGCAUAGUAAUUUGUCUUUUAAUUGAAGGCUUGUAUGAAUGGUUGGACGAGAAAACUACUUUCUUUAUAAUAAAAUUGUUAAUUUUAUUUUUUAGUUAAAAAGCUAAAAUGUUGUUGUAGGACGAGAAGACCCUAUAGAACUUUAUAUUUAUUUUUUUAUUAAUAUUUUUGGUUAAUAAUAUGUUGUAUCUUUAUAAAUAUUUUGUUGGGGCGACAAGAAAAUUUAUUUAACUUUUUUUAUUAAUUUCAUUAAUUAAUGUAUAAAUGAUCCUUUAUUAUGGAUAAUUAGAAUAAGUUACCUUAGGGAUAACAGCGUAAUUUUUUUGGAGAGUUCUUAUCGAUAAAAAAGUUUGCGA
This 434-nucleotide ribosomal RNA is filed under the name Callicorixa praeusta. RNAcentral describes it as "partial large subunit ribosomal RNA". It matches the Rfam family "Archaeal large subunit ribosomal RNA", at positions 1921 to 2592 of the family's 2987-position model. The record is from RNAcentral. Lineage: Eukaryota; Metazoa; Arthropoda; Insecta; Hemiptera; Corixidae.